ACGUAGGUGACUAGCGUUGUCCGGAUUUACUGGGCGUAAAGAGCGCGCAGGCGGUCGUUCAAGUCGAGUGUGAAAGCCCCCGGCUCAACUGGGGAGGGUCAUUCGAUACUGAUCGACUCGAAGGCAGGAGAGGGAAGCGGAAUUCCCGGUGUAGUGGUGAAAUGCGUAGAUAUCGGGAGGAACACCAGUGGCGAAGGCGGCUUCCUGGCCUGUUCUUGACGCUGAGGCGCGAAAGCUAGGGGAGCAAACGGGAUUAGAUACCCCGGUAGUCCUAGCCGUAAACGAUGGACACUAGGUGUUGGUGGUAUCAACCCCACCAGUGCCGAAGCUAACGCAUUAAGUGUCCCGCCUGGGGAGUACGGCCGCAAGGCUA
RNAcentral lists this ribosomal RNA (373 nucleotides) under uncultured bacterium. RNAcentral describes it as "bacterial SSU rRNA". It matches the Rfam family "Bacterial small subunit ribosomal RNA", at positions 525 to 896 of the family's 1533-position model. The record is from RNAcentral.